This 2288-nucleotide long non-coding RNA is filed under the name Homo sapiens (human). Its description in RNAcentral is "HSALNT0331836". Lineage: Eukaryota; Metazoa; Chordata; Mammalia; Primates; Hominidae. The record is from RNAcentral.
ACAGCAUCUAAAGGAGCUAGGAAUGCAUGGGAUGCUUAUGGAAUGUGCGAGAACACGGACUUCAUGGCUGAGACAGAGCUGAGAGCAGAGAAAACAGACUCAUAAAAUCCUGGCAGAAUCUUUCCAUUCUAAUAGAGAAAAGAGGAAGGUAUGGAAAAGAGUGAAAUUGGCAUAAAAAAUCCAAUAAAGGGCAACGAGCAGGAAACAACAAAAACAUGGGAAACUGCCGACCUGAGGAAUCGCGCUCUUCUAACUUUACAGCUUCACCUGCCGUGUUUGCUCCUGGAGGACUGAGACUUUUGUCUGAUUCGUCUGCUGCUGUCUUCCCGAUGCCUAGAACACUGCCUGAUGCACGGGAAGUAUUUGUCAGAUACAUCCCAUGGCUUCUAAUGCCAUUUGCAAGGAUGAAAGCUGGGUGUGCCCGGCUGUACGGCAAUACUUCCAAAGGCCUGUAGGACUCCCCAGUGACUGUCCCAUUCACCAGGAGGAGGACUGCAGUCACCUGCAUUGUCCUGGGAAGGUCAGCCAGGCCUUUUCCCAAUGUCUGUCUGGGAAAAGCCCCGGUGUAGUCUGCUCGGUCCUACACCCAGAAUCACGGGGGCUUCAGGAGCAGGCAUUACGAGGCAAGGAGUAGCUUCUCCCCCUCACCUCCCACUCAGCAGAACGCACUAGCCCUGUGCUCUUCUGAUCCUGAAGGCAGCUGAGUCUGAAAAGUUCCUGUACCUUUAAAGGUACUAGAGGCAGUGUGGUGCCCACUCAGGAACUGCAUGAUUUAAAUAGGUUUCUAGGAUAAAGGCAACUCGUAGCACAAAGGAACAAGUCCCAGGGAGUGGCAUUCCAGAUCAUUUGAUUCCUGAGCGAAGGAAUUAUUAUGGUGUGGAGGUGGGGACCUCCUUACUACAUUCCAAAUUGCAAUAAGGUUGUAAGGGUUUUCUCUUCCAUUCUGAAGUACUUUGACAAUAGUUUUGAACUUCAAAAAUGUUUAUUAAAGGUGUUUUCACAGCAGUUUCAUAAUGUUUAAUUUGUUAAUUACUGGAAUUGAUGCUAAAUAAAACAGGCAAGUAAUACUUCAGAUGGCUUCAUCUUCAGAGUCUUCUUCAUGUGUGACUCAAAAUGCACAAUUUUGGCCGGGCACAGUGGCUCACGCCUGUAAUCCCAGCACUUUGGGAGGCUGAGACAGGCGGAUCACCUGAGGUCAGGAGUUUGAGACCAGUUUGGCCAACAUGGUGAAACCCCAUCUCUACUAAAAAUACAAAAAUUAGAUGGGCAUGGUGGUGUGUGCCUGUAAUCCCAGCUGCUUGGGAAGCUGAGGCAGGAGAAUUGAUUGAACCCAAGAGGCGGGGCUUGCAGUGAGCCGAGAUCCCGCUCCAGCCUGGGCAACAAGAGCGAGACUCCGUCUCAAAAAAAGAAAAAAAAAGCACAAUUUCAGGACAGCCUAAGCAAAUAAAAAAUGGGAAAUGGAAAUGGAUUCGAAGCAGGGAGGACGUUCCGCCCACUGUCACACCGAAGGAAUGGUGGAGGCUGUGAGUCCUCCGCCCACUGUCACACCGAAGGAUGGUGGAGGCUGUGAGUCCUCCUGUAAGCCGCCGCUGGAGAAGGGGCAGCUCUGGAACCUGACGACAUUCUCCUAUCUUGCAUGAGGUGGAGACAAAGAGUCCUUCUGCGCUGGGACAGGAUGAGGGCGAAGUGGUGACUUCAGGUCAGAAGCAGAGCCUUGGGGACCUCUGAUUCUCAAGGGCGAGCUCCCUCCAGAACCCCAAGAGAUGGCCCUGACUGCAUGGGAAAGCGUGUCUCACCAUUGCAAUGUUCUCUAAGUCUGGAGGAGGCGGAGCCCAGUGAGAAUGACAGGCAGACCGCAAGGAGGCCCGGAAGCCCCCCAUGGCGAGGAUGCAUCCAAGUGUAUUCUGUAGGAGUGACCAGUGGCCACGUGGGUAGUGGGCAGAGCUUGUUUUCCUCCAAUAUCAGCGUACAGAGCAGGGGAGCCUGGUGAAGGUUUCUCUCUGAAAUCAUGGAUUCAGCUGUAUUAGUUUCUAUCCAAGGCUGGCAUAGCUCACCUUCCACUCCAGCAAUGACCUCGGGCCAGCUGUCACGAGCCUUCUCACCACGAGGAUGGUCUGGGGUGGUGAGAUCUCACUGUUGGCCAUAAUUCAUUCAACAUUUCUUCACUUCUCUGCUUGUAAGUUUUCAUUUCCUCUGCAGCUGGUAGCUUCUGUCAUUUCUUUUCCUAUUUAUACCAGUCCUGAAUCAGCUUCUUUUUCAGAACCAUGCAUUUCUCUCGGUAGAGGUCG